CGGAACGUACCCUGUCGUGGGGGAUAACACAGCGAAAGCUGUGCUAAUACCGCAUACGACCUGAGGGUGAAAGCGGGGGAUCGCAAGACCUCGCGCGAUAGGAGCGGCCGAUAUCGGAUUAGCUUGUUGGUGAGGUAAAGGCUCACCAAGGCGACGAUCCGUAGCUGGUCUGAGAGGACGACCAGCCACACUGGAACUGAGACACGGUCCAGACUCCUACGGGAGGCAGCAGUGGGGAAUUUUGGACAAUGGGGGCAACCCUGAUCCAGCCAUUCCGCGUGAGUGAAGAAGGCCUUCGGGUUGUAAAGCUCUUUCAGCAGGAACGAAACGGUGGCUACUAAUACUAGCUACUAAUGACGGUACCUGAAGAAGAAGCACCGGCUAACUACGUGCCAGCAGCCGCGGUAAUACGUAGGGUGCGAGCGUUAAUCGGAAUUACUGGCGUAAAGCGUGCGCAGGCGGUUAUGUAAGACAGGUGUGAAAUCCCCGGGCUUAACCUGGGAACUGCGCUUGUGACUGCAUAACUCGAGUGUGGCAGAGGGGGGUGGAAUUCCACGUGUAGCAGUGAAAUGCGUAGAGAUGUGGAGGAACACCGAUGGCGAAGGCAGCCCCCUGGGUCAACACUGACGCUCAUGCACGAAAGCGUGGGGAGCAAACAGGAUUAGAUACCCUUGUAGUCCACGCCCUAAACGAUGCGAACUAGGUGUUGGGGAAGGAGACUUUCUUAGUACCGCAGCUAACGCGUGAAGUUCGCCGCCUGGGGAGUACGGUCGCAAGAUUAAAACUCAAAGGAAUUGACGGGGACCCGCACAAGCGGUGGAUGAUGUGGAUUAAUUCGAUGCAACGCGAAAAACCUUACCUACCCUUGACAUGUCAGGAAGUCCGCUGAGAGGUGGAUGUGCUCGAAAGAGAACCUGAACACAGGUGCUGCAUGGCUGUCGUCAGCUCGUGUCGUGAGAUGUUGGGUUAAGUCCCGCAACGAGCGCAACCCUUGUCAUUAAUUGCCAUCAUUCAGUUGGGCACUUUAAUGAGACUGCCGGUGACAAACCGGAGGAAGGUGGGGAUGACGUCAAGUCCUCAUGGCCCUUAUGGGUAGGGCUUCACACGUCAUACAAUGGUCGGUACAGAGGGUCGCCAACCCGCGAGGGGGAGCCAAUCCCACAAAGCCGAUCGUAGUCCGGAUCGCAGUCUGCAACUCGACUGCGUGAAGUCGGAAUCGCUAGUAAUCGUGGAUCAGCAUGUCACGGUGAAUACGUUCCCGGGUCUUGUACACGCCGCCCGUCACACCAUGGGAG
This 1295-nucleotide ribosomal RNA is filed under the name metagenome. RNAcentral's name for it is "bacterial SSU rRNA". It matches the Rfam family "Bacterial small subunit ribosomal RNA", at positions 119 to 1410 of the family's 1533-position model. The record is from RNAcentral.